AUUCGGUUCAUUUUGUAAGAGUGAACAUAUGGCUAUUUUUAGGGUUAAAUUAGAGUGGAUAGUGGGAUGCAUAGGUAACAUGAUAUAAGUUUCCAUUCCAUGGUGCGUGCUAUGCAUCUAUGCCUGCUCGGUGUGUACUGUUGUUUGAGUGGAAGAAUGACGUACACUUGUGUCUUUGUAUAGUAGAGAACUAAAUAUUAUAUCCUGAUCACUGUUGCGUACACUAGUCAAUUCUUAUGAUAUUUCAUAUAAAUUACCUACUUUAACUUGUUCUGCACAAAACAUGUUUUACUACCUCUUGUAGGGUUGGAUCAACUUUGCGCAAUGUUGGACAAUACUAUCAUAUUCAGAACAGGUUUUAUCAAGCUGAGAUAUAUUACGAGAUUGCCAAGAUAAACUGAUGAUACAUGGCCCAAGUUUUGGUUGCAAGGUUAUGAAAGAGGCUACCACAAGAUAAAUAGAAUGUCAUUGUAUUGAUUGAUGUUUCAAACAUUAUAGUUGAUUGCAAGCUCGGGAAUUGGGCUACCACUAGAUAGUUUCACAUCAUGUAAUCUUUGGAUCGUGGUCUUUGUAAUGCAACAUAUCUGGUUCAAUAUAUGAGAUAUUUUUGUUUAUCA
Molecule: non-coding RNA, 617 nt
Organism: Triticum urartu
Lineage: Eukaryota; Viridiplantae; Streptophyta; Magnoliopsida; Poales; Poaceae
Source: RefSeq, a predicted model, not a curated record